This 391-nucleotide ribosomal RNA is filed under the name uncultured bacterium. Its description in RNAcentral is "bacterial SSU rRNA". It matches the Rfam family "Bacterial small subunit ribosomal RNA", at positions 8 to 425 of the family's 1533-position model. The record is from RNAcentral.
AGAGUUUGAUCCUGGCUCAGAGCGAACGCUGGCGGCAGGCUUAACACAUGCAAGUCGAGCGGGCGUAGCAAUACGUCAGCGGCAGACGGGUGAGUAACGCGUGGGAACAUACCUUUUGGUUCGGAACAACACAGGGAAACUUGUGCUAAUACCGGAUAAGCCCUUACGGGGAAAGAUUUAUCGCCGAAAGAUUGGCCCGCGUCUGAUUAGCUAGUUGGUGAGGUAACGGCUCACCAAGGCGACGAUCAGUAGCUGGUCUGAGAGGAUGAUCAGCCACAUUGGGACUGAGACACGGCCCAAACUCCUACGGGAGGCAGCAGUGGGGAAUAUUGGACAAUGGGCGCAAGCCUGAUCCAGCCAUGCCGCGUGAGUGAUGAAGGCCCUAGGGUUG